UAACACGUGAGCAACCUACCCUUCAGAGGGGGACAACAGUUGGAAACGACUGCUAAUACCGCAUAAGACCACGGUGUGGCAUCACACAGAGGUCAAAGGAGAAAUCCGCUGAAGGAUGGGCUCGCGUCCAAUUAGCUAGAUGGUGAGGUAACGGCCCACCAUGGCGACGAUUGGUAGCCGGACUGAGAGGUUGAUCGGCCACAUUGGGACUGAGACACGGCCCAGACUCCUACGGGAGGCAGCAUG
Molecule: ribosomal RNA, 246 nt
Filed under: uncultured bacterium
Lineage: Bacteria
Description: partial 16S ribosomal RNA
Rfam family: Bacterial small subunit ribosomal RNA
Source: RNAcentral